Non-coding RNA from Arachis ipaensis, 134 nucleotides. The record is from RefSeq and is a predicted model, not a curated record. Lineage: Eukaryota; Viridiplantae; Streptophyta; Magnoliopsida; Fabales; Fabaceae.
AUCAGGAAAAAAACGAAAAAACAAAAUCGGAGGAGCCUGCCGGAGAUGUGGCCAUUACGGCUCGCCUUCAGAUGUCCUCCUCGAGAUAGGGUCAUUUAAAGAACGAGGGUCAGCAUGACGUAAAAAAAAUUGGG